CCUACGGGUGACAGCAGUGAGGAAUAUUGGUCAAUGGACGAGAGUCUGAACCAGCCAAGUAGCGUGAAGGAUGACUGCCCUAUGGGUUGUAAACUUCUUUUAUAUGGGAAUAAAAUGUUCCACGUGUGGGAUUUUGUAUGUACCAUAUGAAUAAGGAUCGGCUAACUCCGUGCCAGCAGCCGCGGUAAUACGGAGGAUCCGAGCGUUAUCCGGAUUUAUUGGGUUUAAAGGGAGCGUAGGUGGAUUGUUAAGUCAGUUGUGAAAGUUUGCGGCUCAACCGUAAAAUUGCAGUUGAAACUGGCAGUCUUGAGUACAGUGGAGGUGGGCGGAAUUCGUGGUGUAGCGGUGAAAUGCUUAGAUAUCACGAAGAACUCCGAUUGCGAAGGCAGUUCACUGGACUGCAACUGACACUGAGGCUCGAAAGUGUGGGUAUCAAACAGGAUUAGAUACCCUAGUAGUC
This 460-nucleotide ribosomal RNA is filed under the name uncultured bacterium. RNAcentral's name for it is "partial 16S ribosomal RNA". It matches the Rfam family "Bacterial small subunit ribosomal RNA", at positions 338 to 795 of the family's 1533-position model. The record is from RNAcentral.